Molecule: ribosomal RNA, 497 nt
Filed under: uncultured bacterium
Lineage: Bacteria
Description: partial 16S ribosomal RNA
Rfam family: Bacterial small subunit ribosomal RNA
Source: RNAcentral
GACGAACGCUGGCGGCGUGCCUAAUACAUGCAAGUCGAGCGGACAGACGGGAGCUUGCUCCCUGAUGUUAGCGGCGGACGGGUGAGUAACACGUGGGUAACCUGCCUGUAAGACUGGGAUAACUCCGGGAAACCGGGGCUAAUACCGGAUGGUUGUCUGAACCGCAUGGUUCAGACAUAAAAGGUGGCUUCGGCUACCACUUACAGAUGGACCCGCGGCGCAUUAGCUAGUUGGUGAGGUAACGGCUCACCAAGGCAACGAUGCGUAGCCGACCUGAGAGGGUGAUCGGCCACACUGGGACUGAGACACGGCCCAGACUCCUACGGGAGGCAGCAGUAGGGAAUCUUCCGCAAUGGACGAAAGUCUGACGGAGAAACGCCGCGUGAGUGAUGAAGGUUUUCGGAUCGUAAAGCUCUGUUGUUAGGGAAGAACAAGUGCCGUUCAAAUAGGGCGGCACCUUGACGGUACCUAACCAGAAAGCCACGGCUAACUACGUG